This is a long non-coding RNA of Mesoplodon densirostris (Blainville's beaked whale), 1452 nucleotides long. RefSeq lists it as uncharacterized. The transcript has 4 exons. Lineage: Eukaryota; Metazoa; Chordata; Mammalia; Artiodactyla; Ziphiidae. The record is from RefSeq and is a predicted model, not a curated record.
AACCCGGGCGUCGCCGUCGGCAGGAGCCCCGGCCCAGGAAAGGCGCCGCCGGGGCCCAGGAAAGGCGCCGCCGGGGCCCAGGGAGCGCGUGGGGCCGCGAGAGCAGAGAGGAAACUUCCUUUUCGGGCCUGACUGCGGAGGGGAGCUUUGCCGCGGCUUCGCACAAAGCCUUUCAUUUCUGCACCUGCCUCUGCGUCCAUCCUUCCCUUCCUGAGUCAAAAUUUUCAUCAAGUGCUUCUGUAUGUAUUGAGACUGAAAAGUGACCAAAACUUUUCACUAUAAAAGCUUCAGUAUCACAGGUAAACACAUCACACCCCGUUUUAGCAGUGUUGUGUGAAAGGUGUCCAGAUAUUUAGCAAGGACAUCAUGACGUCCUCAAAAAAUAUACACACACUUCUAAGAAGAUGUGACAAUCUGCACUGAUAUGAGCUGCAAGAGAAAAACUGUUUCCUUGGAAGUGCUUUUUCACAGCCAUUGUGGAGUCUCCACAGCUCAGGGGAGUCCUUCCAUCCCCAACUACUGCAACAAGCCGGUCUCCAGGACUUGCCAAUGCUGAUGAAGUCCAGUGAAGAACUUCUCCAGGCCAGUCUCAUUCCAACCAACCUCUUAUGCUGAACAGUUUGAAGAUUUGCUGAAGCAUCUGAUGGAGGACAGCAGUGAUUUGAGCCUUCUGGACCUUGCUGCCAUCUACCAGAAACAACAGAAGACCAUUGGAACCAGCUAAAUGUCCAUCGGUAGGGGACUAAUCAAAUAAUGUAGGACACACCCAUUCAAUGGGAAACAGUACAGCUAUUUAAAAAGAUAAAGCAGUUAUCUAUAUAUGAAUGAGAAGAUCUCCAAGUUAAAAAAGAUAGGUGCAGAACAGUGAGUAUAGUAUGCUACUUUUAUAUUAAAAAAGGGGAAGAGUGUAAUAAAAGAAUGUACCUAUAUUCUCAUCAGUUGGCAUAUGCAUAAGGAAACUGGAAGGAUUUAAAAGACAGUAAUAACUUCAAACUGUGGAAAAUGUUGGAAGCAGUUGUGUCAAAGUAUACAUUUAUUCAUAUGCCCAAAUUCCAAUUUACUAGUAAUUUUAAAAAUGUAAGUUAGCAAAAUAUCCAUAAAGGGAAAGAUCAGUAGCAGGGAAAUACACACUCAAACAUUGCUGGUGACAAUAUUUUGGAAAAAAAAAUUGUCUUCAAUUAGCAUUCUGCCCUUAGGAUUUAUCCAAAAACAGGUAAAGUUUUGUGCUCAGAUUCUAUAGAAGAGUGGAGAACAAGAAAGUAUAUAUUCAGGAACAAAUGAUGGGCAAGGAAACUACAUAGUAUGUGUAGUUAUUAGACAAUUGUGUAUCCAUUUAAAAAUUUGUGAGUAGAAAACAAAAACACGAAAAAUUUACUGAUGAUGGAAUUCCAUUGUGUGGCAAAAAUUCAGGCUAAAUUACUUACAUAGCAUAGUCACAAUUUGGUAUUUUAA